UUUUAACCAUAGCCCUCUUUGGGCUUCCAAAUAUCACUUCGCGAAUUCCACAAGAACGGGCUUAACUAGCGGCUUCUUGAGUGGAAAACAGUAACUCUGUGAGAUGAAUUAACAGAACACUAAGCAGUUUCUCAGAAAGCUUCUUUCCAGAUUUCAUCUGAGGAUAUUUCCUUUUUCACCAUAGCCCUCUACGGGCUUCAAAAUAUCACUUUGCCAAUUCCACAUGAACUGUCUUAGCGAGCGGCUUCUUGAGGGGAAAGCCGUAACUCUUUGAGAUGAAUUAACAGAACACUAAGGAGUUUCUCAUAAAGCUUCUUUCCAGAAUUCAUCUGAGGUUAUUUCCUUUUUCACCAUAGCCCUCUAUGGGCUUCCAAAUAUCACUUUGUCAAUUCCACAAGAACUCUCCUAGCGAAAGGCUUCUUGAGGGGAAAGCUGUAACUCUGUGAGAUAAUUUCACAGAACACAAAGAAGUUUCUCAGAAAGUUUCUUUCUCUUUGUUAUCGAAGGAUAUUUCCUUUGGCACUAUAGUCUUCAAAGGUAUCCGAAAUAUCUCUUCUCAGAUUCCACGGAACUAAGCCUAGCAAAGAGAUCCACGAAAUACAGAUGUAACUCUGUGAGUGGAAGUCACACAUCAAAAAGCAGUUUCUCAGAAAGCUUCUGUACAGUUUUUCUCUCAGGAUAUUUUAUUUUUCACUCUAGCCCUCUAUGGGCUUCCAAAUAUCACUUUGCGUAUUCCACAAGAACAGGCUUAGCGAAAGGCUUCUUGAGGGGCAAGCUGUAACUCUGUGAGAUGAAUUAACCGAAAACUAAGCAGUUUCUCAGAAAGCUUCUUUCCAGAUUUCAUGGGAGGAUAUUUCCUUUUUCACCAUAGCCCUCUAUGGGCUUCCAAAUAUCACUUUGCAAAUUCCACAAAACUGUCUUACGAAAGGCUUCUUCAGGGGAAAGCUGUAACUCUGUGAGAUGAUAUCACAGAACACAAAGAAGUUUCUCAGAAAGCUUCGUUCUCUUUAUUAUUUUAGGAUAUUUCCUUUGGCACUAUAGUCUUCAAAGGGUCCGAAAUAUCUGUUCUCAGAUUCCACGGAACUAAGCCUAGCAAAGAGAUCCACGAAAUACAGAUGUAACUCUGUGAGUGGAAGUCACACAUCACAAAGCAGUUUCUCAGAAAGUUUCUUUCCAGUUUUUCUCUGAGGAUAUAUUCUUCUUCACCAUAGCCCUCCAUGGGCUUCCAAAUAUCACUUUGCGAAUUCCACAAGAACAGGCUUAGCAAGCGGCUUCUUGAGGGGAAAGGUGUAACUCUGUGAGAUGAAUUAACAGAACACUAAGCAGUUUCUCAGAAAGAUUCUUUCCAGAUUUCAUCUGAGAAUAUUUCCUUUUUCACCAUAGGCCUCUAUGGGCUUCCAAAUAUCACUUUGCCCAUUCCACAAGAACUGUCUUAGCGAAACGCUUCUUGAGGGGAAAGCUGUAACUCUGUGAGAUGAUUUCACAGAACACAAAGAAGAUUCUCAAAAAGCUUCUUUCUCUUUGUUAUCGGAGGAUAUUUCCUUUGGCCCUAUAGUCUUCAAAGGGAUCCGAAAUAUCUGUUCUCACAUUCCAGAGAAAUAAGGGAGAAAAGAGAUCCACGAAAUACAGAUGUAACUCUGUGAGUGGAAGUCACACGUCACCAAGCAUUUUCUCAGAAAGCUUCUUUUCUGUUUUUCUCUGAGGACAUUUCCUUUUUCACCAUAGACCUCUAAGGGCUUCCAAAUAUCUCUUUUCGAAUUCCACAAGAAGAGGCUUAGCGAGCGGCUUCUUGAGGGGAAAGCGAUUACUCUGUGAGAUGAAUUAACAGAACACUAAGCAUUUUCUCAGAAAGCUUCUUUCCAGAUGUCAUCUGAGGAUAUUUCCUUUUUCACCAUAGCCCUCUAUGGGCUUCCAAAUAUCACUUUGCCAAUUACACAAGAACUGUCUUAGCGAAAAGCUUCUUGAGGGGAAAGCUGUAACUCUGUGAGAUGAUUUCACAGAACACAAAGAAGAUUUUCAGAACGCUUCCUUCUCUUUGUUAUCGGAGGACCUUUCCUUUGGCCCUAUAGUUUCUAAAGGGAUCUGAAAUAUCUCUUUUGUCAGGAUUCCACAGAAAUAAGGCUAGCAAAGAGAUCCACUGAAAUACAGAUGUAAACCAUGUGAGUGGAAUCUCACACAUCAUUGUGCUGUGCUCUCAGGAAGCUUCUUUCCAGUUUUUCUCUGAGGAUAUUUCCUUUUUCACCAUAGCCUUCUAUGGGCUUCCAAACAUCACUUUGCGAAUCAGACAAGAACUCCGCUUAGCUGCGGUGGUUUCUUGAGGGGAAAGCUUUCGUAAUUCUGUGAGAUGAAUUAACAGAACACUAAGCAGUUUCUCAGAAAGCUUCCUUCCCAUCUGAUGAUAUUUCCUUUUCACAAUAGCUCUAAGGGCUUCCAAAUAUCACUUUACAGUUCCUCAAGAACUGUCUGAAGGAAAGGAUUCUUUGAGGGGAAAGCUGUAACUCUGUGAGAUAAUUUCACAGAACACAAAGUAUUUCUCAGAAAGCCUUUUCUCUUUGUUAUCGGAGGAUAUUUC
Molecule: long non-coding RNA, 2572 nt
Filed under: Papio anubis (olive baboon)
Lineage: Eukaryota; Metazoa; Chordata; Mammalia; Primates; Cercopithecidae
Description: lncRNA (ENSPANG00000037661.1)
Source: RNAcentral